RNAcentral lists this ribosomal RNA (696 nucleotides) under uncultured Gammaproteobacteria bacterium. Its description in RNAcentral is "bacterial SSU rRNA". It matches the Rfam family "Bacterial small subunit ribosomal RNA", at positions 196 to 872 of the family's 1533-position model. Lineage: Bacteria; Pseudomonadati; Pseudomonadota; Gammaproteobacteria. The record is from RNAcentral.
ACGGGAGAAAGCAGGGGACCUUUGGGCCUUGCGCUAAUAGAUGAGCCUAAGUCGGAUUAGCUAGUUGGUAGGGUAAAGGCCUACCAAGGCGACGAUCUGUAGCGGGUCUGAGAGGAUGAUCCGCCACACUGGGACUGAGACACGGCCCAGACUCCUACGGGAGGCAGCAGUGGGGAAUAUUGGACAAUGGGGGGAACCCUGAUCCAGCCAUGCCGCGUGUGUGAAGAAGGCCUUUUGGUUGUAAAGCACUUUAAGCGAGGAGGAGGCUACCUAGAUUAAUACUUUAGGAUAGUGGACGUUACUCGCAGAAUAAGCACCGGCUAACUCUGUGCCAGCAGCCGCGGUAAUACAGAGGGUGCGAGCGUUAAUCGGAUUUACUGGGCGUAAAGCGUGCGUAGGCGGCCAAUUAAGUCAAAUGUGAAAUCCCCGAGCUUAACUUGGGAAUUGCAUUCGAUACUGGUUGGCUAGAGUAUGGGAGAGGAUGGUAGAAUUCCAGGUGUAGCGGUGAAAUGCGUAGAGAUCUGGAGGAAUACCGAUGGCGAAGGCAGCCAUCUGGCCUAAUACUGACGCUGAGGUACGAAAGCAUGGGGAGCAAACAGGAUUAGAUACCCUGGUAGUCCAUGCCGUAAACGAUGUCUACUAGCCGUUGGGGCCCUUGAGGCUUUAGUGGCGCAGCUAACGCGAUAAGUAGACCGC